AUUGAACGCUGGCGGCAUGCCUUACACAUGCAAGUCGAACGGCAGCGGGGGAGAAGCUUGCUUUUCCUGCCGGCGAGUGGCGAACGGGUGAGUAAUACAUCGGAACGUGCCCUGUAGUGGGGGGUAACUAGUCGAAAGAUUAGCUAAUACCGCAUACGACCUGAGGGUGAAAGUGGGGGACCGCAAGGCCUCAUGCUAUAGGAGCGGCCGAUGUCUGAUUAGCUAGUUGGUGGGGUAAAGGCCUACCAAGGCGACGAUCAGUAGCUGGUCUGGGAGGACGAUCAGCCACACUGGGACUGAGACACGGCCCAGACUCCUACGGGAGGCAGCAGUGGGGAAUUUUGGACAAUGGGCGAAAGCCUGAUCCAGCAAUGCCGCGUGUGUGAAGAAGGCCUUCGGGUUGUAAAGCACUUUUGUCCGGAAAGAAAUGGCUCUGGUUAAUGCCUGGGGUCGAUGACGGUACCGGAAGAAUAAGGACCGGCUAACUACGUGCCAGCCGCCGCCGUAA
This 508-nucleotide ribosomal RNA is filed under the name uncultured bacterium. Its description in RNAcentral is "partial 16S ribosomal RNA". It matches the Rfam family "Bacterial small subunit ribosomal RNA", at positions 30 to 523 of the family's 1533-position model. The record is from RNAcentral.